This is a long non-coding RNA of Dicentrarchus labrax (European seabass), 533 nucleotides long. RefSeq lists it as uncharacterized. The transcript is spliced from 6 exons. Lineage: Eukaryota; Metazoa; Chordata; Actinopteri; Moronidae. The record is from RefSeq and is a predicted model, not a curated record.
GUGUAGGAACAUAUAGUGUGUGUGUGUAUAUAGUGUGUGUACCUGGUCCAGGUGUGUGUGUGUGUAUAUAGUGUGUGUACCUGGUCCAGGUGUGUGUGUGUGUGUAUAUAUAGUGUGUGUACCUGGUCCAGGUGUGUGUGUAUAUAGUGUGUGUACCUGGUCCAGGUGUGUGUGUGUGUAUAUAUAGUGUGUGUACCUGGUCCAGGUGUGUGUGUGUGUGUGUAUAUAGUGUGUGUACCUGGUCCAGGUGUGUGUGUAUAUAGUGUGUGUACCUGGUCCAGGUGUGUGUGUGUAUAUAGUGUGUGUACCUGGUCCAGGUGUGUGUGUGUAUAUAGUGUGUGUACCUGGUCCAGGUGUGUGUGUGUGUAUAUAUAGUGUGUGUACCUGGUCCAGGUGUGUGUGUAUAUAGUGUGUGUACCUGGUCCAGGUGUGUGUGUAUAUAGUGUGUGUACCUGGUCCAGAGUGGUCUGAGUGACGGAGUAGUCCUCGAUCCUGAGCGUCUCUUUAUUUUUGGCCAGAAUGGAGAAGAUGUG